AUUGAACGCUGGCGGCAUGCCUUACACAUGCAAGUCGAACGGCAGCGCGGACUUCGGUCUGGCGGCGAGUGGCGAACGGGUGAGUAAUACAUCGGAACGUACCCUGUUGUGGGGGAUAACUAGUCGAAAGAUUAGCUAAUACCGCAUACGACCUGAGGGUGAAAGUGGGGGACCGCAAGGCCUCACGCAGCAGGAGCGGCCGAUGUCUGAUUAGCUAGUUGGUGGGGUAAAGGCCCACCAAGGCGACGAUCAGUAGCUAGUCUGAGAGGACGAUCAGCCACACUGGGACUGAGACACGGCCCAGACUCCUACGGGAGGCAGCAGUGGGGAAUAUUGGACAAUGGGGGCAAGCCUGAUCCAGCAAUGCCGCGUGUGUGAAGAAGGCCUUCGGGUUGUAAAGCACUUUUGUCCGGAAAGAAAUCGCGCUGGUUAAUACCUGGCGUGGAUGACGGUACCGGAAGAAUAAGCACCGGCUAACUACGUG
Molecule: ribosomal RNA, 484 nt
Filed under: uncultured bacterium
Lineage: Bacteria
Description: partial 16S ribosomal RNA
Rfam family: Bacterial small subunit ribosomal RNA
Source: RNAcentral